AGAACGAACGCUGGCGGCAGGCCUCAAACAUGCAAGUCUAGGGGGUGUAGCAAUACAUCACCGGCGGACGGGUGCGUAACACGUGGGAAUAUACCUUUUGGUUCGGAACAACGCAGGGAAACUUGCGCUAAUACCGAAUGUGCCCUUACGGGGAAAGAUUUAUCGCCAAAGGAUUAGCCCGCGUAGGAUUAGCUAGUUGGUGAGGUAAUGGCUCACCAAGGCUCCGAUCCUUAGCUGUUCUGAGAGGAAGAUCAGCCACACUGGGACUGAGACACGGCCCAGACUCCUACGGGAGGCAGCAGUUGGGAAUCUUGGACAAUGGGGGAAACCCUGAUCCAGCCAUGCCGCGUGAGUGAUGAAGGCCUUCGGGUUGUAAACUCUUUCGACGGGGACGAGUAAUGACGGUACCCGUAGAAGAAGCUCCGGCUAACUUCGCGCCAGCAGCCGC
RNAcentral lists this ribosomal RNA (448 nucleotides) under uncultured bacterium. RNAcentral's name for it is "SSU rRNA". It matches the Rfam family "Bacterial small subunit ribosomal RNA", at positions 26 to 518 of the family's 1533-position model. The record is from RNAcentral.